This is a non-coding RNA of Nycticebus coucang (slow loris), 607 nucleotides long. The record is from the annotation of a RefSeq genome assembly. Lineage: Eukaryota; Metazoa; Chordata; Mammalia; Primates; Lorisidae.
AUGUUGAAAUCGGGCGAACGGGAAAAGAGUGAAGGGUCACAGCAUGGAGCAGGGGUAGUUCCUGAUGACAUCCUAUGUCCACGUGGUUCCGCCCUCAAAACACUAGGUACCCAGUGGGAUGUAUUCGGCAGAGGGACCAAGGUGACCGUCCUAGGUCAGCCCAAGGCCACUCCCACAGUCAGCCUCUUUGCACCCUCCUCUGAGGAGCUCAGCACCAACAAGGCCACACUGGUGUGUCUGAUGAGUGACUUCUACCCGGACUCCGUCUCCGUGGCCUGGAAGGCAGACGGCAGCCCCAUCACCCAGGGCGUGGAGACCACCAAGCCCUUGAAACAGAGCAACGGCAAGUAUGUGGCCGGCAGCUACCUGAGCCUGACAGGUGACCAGUGGAGAAGUCGCAGAAGGUACAGCUGCCAGGUCACGCACGAGGGCAAGACCGAGGAGAAGACGUGGCCCCUGCAGAAUGUGCUUAGGGUCCCGGCUCCCACCUCAGCCAUGGGGGUCUGGAGCUGAAGGAUCAUCAGGGAGGGGUCUCCCCUCCCACCCAGGUCAUCCCAGCCCUUCCCCCUGCACCCUGUAAACCCCCAAUAAAUACCCUCACUGCCAA